CUACGGGGUGCUCCAGUGAGGAAUAUUGCACAAUGGGGGGAACCCUGAUGCAGCAACGCCGCGUGGAGGAUGACGCAUUUCGGUGUGUAAACUCCUUUUAUAUGUCAAGAAAAUGACGGUAGCAUAUGAAUAAGCACCGGCUAACUCCGUGCCAGUAGCCGCGGUAAUACGGAGGGUGCAAGCGUUACUCGGAAUCACUGGGCGUAAAGGACGCGUAGGCGGGUUGGAAGGUCAGGUGUGAAAUCCUACAGCUUAACUGUAGAACUGCACUUGAAACUUCUAAUCUAGAGUAUGGGAGGGGGAGAUGGAAUUAGUGGUGUAGGGGUAAAAUCCGUAGAUAUCACUAGGAAUACCUAAAGCGAAGGCGAUCUCCUGGAACAUUACUGACGCUAAGGCGUGAAAGCGUGGGGAGCAAACAGGAUUAGAUACCCUUGUAGUC
RNAcentral lists this ribosomal RNA (439 nucleotides) under uncultured bacterium. RNAcentral describes it as "partial 16S ribosomal RNA". It matches the Rfam family "Bacterial small subunit ribosomal RNA", at positions 339 to 795 of the family's 1533-position model. The record is from RNAcentral.